RNAcentral lists this ribosomal RNA (396 nucleotides) under uncultured bacterium. RNAcentral's name for it is "partial 16S ribosomal RNA". It matches the Rfam family "Bacterial small subunit ribosomal RNA", at positions 523 to 918 of the family's 1533-position model. The record is from RNAcentral.
AUACGUAGGUGGCAAGCGUUGUCCGGAAUUAUUGGGCGUAAAGCGCAUGUAGGCGGUUUGGUAAGUCGGUCGUGAAAAUGCGGUGCUUAACGCCGUAUGUCGAUCGAAACUGCUGAACUUUGGUGCAGGAGAGGAAAGGGGAACUCCCAGUGUAGCGGGGAAAUGCGUAGAUAUUGGGAAGAACACCGGUGGCGAAGGGGCCUUUCUGGACUGUGUCUGACGCUCAGAUGCGAAAGCCAGGGUAGCGAACGGGAUUAGAUCCCCCGGUAGUCCUGGCCGUAAACGAUGGGUACUAGGUGUGGGAGGUAUCGACUCCUUCCGUGCCGGAGUUAACGCAAUAAGUACCCCGCCUGGGGAGUACGGCCGCAAGGCUUAAACUCAAAUGAAUUGACGGGG